GCGCCCGUAGCUCAGUCGGAUAGAGCAACGGCCUUCUAAGCCGUCGGUCGAAGGUUCGAAUCCUUCCGGGUGCGCCA
This 77-nucleotide transfer RNA is filed under the name Pseudoalteromonas rubra. RNAcentral's name for it is "tRNA-Arg". It matches the Rfam family "tRNA". From Rfam's summary of the family: Transfer RNA (tRNA) molecules are approximately 80 nucleotides in length. RNAcentral also lists the same sequence under 19 other names. The record is from RNAcentral. Lineage: Bacteria; Pseudomonadati; Pseudomonadota; Gammaproteobacteria; Alteromonadales; Pseudoalteromonadaceae.